Molecule: ribosomal RNA, 693 nt
Filed under: Vibrio sp. CFR 173M
Lineage: Bacteria; Pseudomonadati; Pseudomonadota; Gammaproteobacteria; Vibrionales; Vibrionaceae
Description: bacterial SSU rRNA
Rfam family: Bacterial small subunit ribosomal RNA
Source: RNAcentral
CCGCAUGAUGCCUACGGGCCAAUGAGGCCGACCUUCGGGCCUCUCGCGUCAGGAUAUGCCUAGGUGGGAUUAGCUAGUUGGUGAGGUAAGGGCUCACCAAGGCGACGAUCCCUAGCUGGUCUGAGAGGAUGAUCAGCCACACUGGAACUGAGACACGGUCCAGACUCCUACGGGAGGCAGCAGUGGGGAAUAUUGCACAAUGGGCGCAAGCCUGAUGCAGCCAUGCCGCGUGUGUGAAGAAGGCCUUCGGGUUGUAAAGCACUUUCAGUCGUGAGGAAGGUAGUGUAGUUAAUAGCUGCAUUAUUUGACGUUAGCGACAGAAGAAGCACCGGCUAACUCCGUGGCAGCAGCCGCGGUAAUACGGAGGGUGCGAGCGUUAAUCGGAAUUACUGGGCGUAUAGCGCAUGCAGGUGGUUUGUUAAGUCAGAUGUCAAAGCCCGGGGCUCAACCUCGGAUUAGCAUUUGAAACUGGCAGACUAGAGUACUGUAGAGGGGGGUAGAAUUUCAGGUGUAGCGGUGAAAUGCGUAGAGAUCUGAAGGAAUACCGGUGGCGAAGGCGGCGGCCUGGACAGAUACUGACACUCAGAUGCGAAAGCGUGGGCAGCAAACAGGAUUAGAUACCCUGGUAGUCCACGCCGUAAACGAUGUCUACUUGGAGGUUGUGGCCUUGAGCCGUGGCUUUCGGAGCUAACG